RNAcentral lists this ribosomal RNA (497 nucleotides) under uncultured bacterium. RNAcentral's name for it is "partial 16S ribosomal RNA". It matches the Rfam family "Bacterial small subunit ribosomal RNA", at positions 28 to 507 of the family's 1533-position model. The record is from RNAcentral.
GAUGAACGCUGGCGGCGUGCCUAAUACAUGCAAGUCGAGCGAACGGACGAGAAGCUUGCUUCUCUGAUGUUAGCGGCGGACGGGUGAGUAAAACGUGGAUAACCUACCUAUAAGACUGGGAUAACUUCGGGAAACCGGAGCUAAUACCGGAUAAUAUUUUGAACCGCAUGGUUCAAAAGUGAAAGACGGUCUUGCUGUCACUUAUAGAUGGAUCCGCGCUGCAUUAGCUAGUUGGUAAGGUAACGGCUUACCAAGGCAACGAUGCAUAGCUGACCUGAGAGGGUGAUCGGCCACACUGGAACUGAGACACGGUCCAGACUCCUACGGGAGGCAGCAGUAGGGAAUCUUCCGCAAUGGGCGAAAGCCUGACGGAGCAACGCCGCGUGAGUGAUGAAGGUCUUCGGAUCGUAAAACUCUGUUAUUAGGGAAGAACAUAUGUGUAAGUAACUGUGCACAUCUUGACGUUACCUAAUCAGAAAGCCACGGCUAACUACGUG